RNAcentral lists this ribosomal RNA (253 nucleotides) under uncultured bacterium. RNAcentral describes it as "partial 16S ribosomal RNA". It matches the Rfam family "Bacterial small subunit ribosomal RNA", at positions 524 to 776 of the family's 1533-position model. The record is from RNAcentral.
UACAGAGGUCCCAAGCGUUGUUCGGAUUCAUUGGGCGUAAAGGGUGCGUAGGCGGCGCGGUAAGUCGGGUGUGAAAUCUCGGGGCUUAACUCCGAAACUGCAUUCGAUACUGCCGUGCUUGAGGACUGGAGAGGAGACUGGAAUUUACGGUGUAGCGGUGAAAUGCGUAGAUAUCUAGAGGAACACCGGUGGCGAAAGCGACACCCUGGCCCGUAACUGACGCUGAGGCGCGAAAGCGUGGGUAGCAAACAGG